RNAcentral lists this ribosomal RNA (301 nucleotides) under uncultured bacterium. Its description in RNAcentral is "partial 16S ribosomal RNA". It matches the Rfam family "Bacterial small subunit ribosomal RNA", at positions 509 to 807 of the family's 1533-position model. The record is from RNAcentral.
CAGCAGCCGCGGGAAAACGUAGGGUGCAAGCGUUGUCCGGAAUUAUUGGGCGUAAAGAGCUCGUAGGCGGUUUGUCGCGUCUGCUGUGAAAUCCCGAGGCUCAACCUCGGGCUUGCAGUGGGUACGGGCAGACUAGAGUGCGGUAGGGGAGAUUGGAAUUCCUGGUGUAGCGGUGGAAUGCGCAGAUAUCAGGAGGAACACCGAUGGCGAAGGCAGAUCUCUGGGCCGUAACUGACGCUGAGGAGCGAAAGCGUGGGGAGCGAACAGGAUUAGAUACCCCGGUAGUCCCUGUCUCUUAUAC